AUUGAACGCUGUCGUCAGGCCUAACACAUGCAAGUCGAGCGGAGCGGCGGACGGGUGAGUAAUGCCUAGGACUCUGCCUGGUAGUGGGGGAUAACGUCCGGAAACGGGCGCUAAUACCGCAUACUAUCAGAUGAGCCUAGGUCGGAUUAGCUAGUUGUUGGGGUAAAGGCCUACCAAGGCGACGAUCCGUAACUGGUCUGAGAGGAUGAUCAGUCACACUGGAACUGAGACACGGUCCAGACUCCUACGGGAGGCAGCAGUGGGGAAGCUUCCGCAAUGGACGAAAGUCUGACGGAGCAACGCCGCGUGAGUGAUGACGGCCUUCGGGUUGUAAAGCUCUGUUAAUCGGGACGCAGUACCGGAAUAGAAAGCCACGGCUAACUACGUGCCAGCCGCCGCGGUAAUAC
RNAcentral lists this ribosomal RNA (407 nucleotides) under uncultured bacterium. Its description in RNAcentral is "partial 16S ribosomal RNA". It matches the Rfam family "Bacterial small subunit ribosomal RNA", at positions 30 to 526 of the family's 1533-position model. The record is from RNAcentral.